This 715-nucleotide ribosomal RNA is filed under the name uncultured Actinomycetes bacterium. RNAcentral's name for it is "bacterial SSU rRNA". It matches the Rfam family "Bacterial small subunit ribosomal RNA", at positions 736 to 1449 of the family's 1533-position model. Lineage: Bacteria; Bacillati; Actinomycetota; Actinomycetes. The record is from RNAcentral.
GCUACUGACGCUGAGGAGCGAAAGCGUGGGGGACCGGACAGGAUUAGAUACCCUGGUAGUCCACGCCGUAAACGUUGGGCGCUAGCUGUGGGCUCCAUUCCACGGAGUCCGUGACGAAGUUAACACAUUAAGCGCCCCGCCUGGGGAGUACGGCCGCAAGGCUAAAACUCAAAGGAAUUGACGGGGGCCCGCACAAGCGGCGGAGCAUGCGGAUUAAUUCGAUGCAACGCGAAGAACCUUACCAAGUCUUGACAUAUAGAGGAAAAGUGCAGAAAUGUACUCCCCGCAAGGUCUCUAUACAGGUGGUGCAUGGUUGUCGUCAGCUCGUGUCGUGAGAUGUUGGGUUAAGUCCCGCAACGAGCGCAACCCUCGUCCUAUGUUGCCAGCACGUUAUGGUGGGAACUCAUGGGAGACUGCCGGUGUCAAACCGGAGGAAGGUGGGGAUGACGUCAAAUCAUCAUGCCCCUUAUGACUUGGGCUUCACGCAUGCUACAAUGGCCGGUACAAAGGGCUGCAAUACCGUAAGGUGGAGCGAAUCCCAAAAAGCCGGUCUCAGUUCGGAUUGAGGUCUGCAACUCGACCUCAUGAAGUUGGAGUCGCUAGUAAUCGCAGAUCAGCAACGCUGCGGUGAAUACGUUCCCGGGCCUUGUACACACCGCCCGUCAAGUCACGAAAGUCGGUAACACCCGAAGCCGGUGGCCUAACCGUAAGGAAG